Molecule: ribosomal RNA, 513 nt
Filed under: Colletotrichum gloeosporioides
Lineage: Eukaryota; Fungi; Ascomycota; Sordariomycetes; Glomerellales; Glomerellaceae
Description: eukaryotic LSU rRNA
Rfam family: 5.8S ribosomal RNA (bases 139-292)
Source: RNAcentral
CCUAUAACUGUUGCUUCGGCGGGUAGGGUCUCCGUGACCCUCCCGGCCUCCCGCCCCCGGGCGGGUCGGCGCCCGCCGGAGGAUAACCAAACUCUGAUUUAACGACGUUUCUUCUGAGUGGUACAAGCAAAUAAUCAAAACUUUUAACAACGGAUCUCUUGGUUCUGGCAUCGAUGAAGAACGCAGCGAAAUGCGAUAAGUAAUGUGAAUUGCAGAAUUCAGUGAAUCAUCGAAUCUUUGAACGCACAUUGCGCCCGCCAGCAUUCUGGCGGGCAUGCCUGUUCGAGCGUCAUUUCAACCCUCAAGCUCUGCUUGGUGUUGGGGCCCUACAGCUGAUGUAGGCCCUCAAAGGUAGUGGCGGACCCUCCCGGAGCCUCCUUUGCGUAGUAACUUUACGUCUCGCACUGGGAUCCGGAGGGACUCUUGCCGUAAAACCCCCCAAUUUUCCAAAGGUUGACCUCGGAUCAGGUAGGAAUACCCGCUGAACUUAAGCAUAUCAAUAAGCGGAGGAAA